Molecule: ribosomal RNA, 1270 nt
Filed under: Triticum aestivum (bread wheat)
Lineage: Eukaryota; Viridiplantae; Streptophyta; Magnoliopsida; Poales; Poaceae
Description: partial small subunit ribosomal RNA
Source: RNAcentral
GGGGAGCCAUUCUGCUCGCCCGAACCCUCCUCUCAGUCCCCCUUUCUUCCCCCCGACCGCCGCCGCCGCCUCCUCCUCUCGGUUCCCUCUCCUUCCUUCGAGUUUGCUUCAGCCAUGGGUAAGGAGAAGACUCACAUCAACAUCGUGGUCAUUGGCCACGUCGACUCUGGCAAGUCGACGACCACUGGCCACCUGAUCUACAAGCUUGGAGGCAUUGACAAGCGUGUCAUCGAGAGGUUCGAGAAGGAAGCCGCUGAAAUGAACAAGAGGUCUUUCAAGUACGCCUGGGUGCUUGACAAGCUCAAGGCCGAGCGUGAGAGAGGUAUCACCAUCGAUAUUGCUCUCUGGAAGUUUGAGACCACCAAGUACUACUGCACCGUCAUUGAUGCCCCUGGUCACCGUGACUUCAUCAAGAACAUGAUCACCGGUACCUCCCAGGCUGACUGUGCUGUUCUCAUCAUUGACUCCACCACUGGUGGUUUUGAGGCUGGUAUCUCCAAGGAUGGCCAGACACGUGAGCACGCCCUCCUUGCUUUCACUCUUGGAGUGAAGCAGAUGAUCUGCUGCUGCAACAAGAUGGACGCCACCACUCCCAAGUACUCGAAGGCUCGUUACGAAGAAAUUGUUAAGGAGGUCUCUUCGUACCUGAAGAAGGUCGGCUACAACCCUGACAAGGUUCCCUUCGUCCCCAUCUCUGGGUUUGAGGGUGACAACAUGAUUGAGAGGUCCACCAACCUUGACUGGUACAAGGGCCCAACCCUGCUUGAGGAGCUGGAGGCCCUGCCAAAGUUCCUCAAGAAUGGUGAUGCUGGCAUAGUGAAGAUGAUUCCCACCAAGCCCAUGGUUGUGGAGACCUUUGCUACUUACCCUCCUCUUGGUCGUUUUGCUGUACGUGACAUGAGGCAAACUGUGGCUGUUGGUGUCAUCAAGGGCGUCGAGAAGAAGGACCCAACCGGGGCUAAGGUGACCAAGGCUGCCAUCAAGAAGAAGUAAUUUGACAAUCGAUAUCCAAAUCACUGUUUCAGGCACCAAGCAGUUUUUAGUAUUGGCUGAGUUUUGUUAAGGGCAUUGCUCGUACUGGGUAUAUUCUAGCUGUUCAGCUGUUAGCGCUGCAUAUCGUGCCCUUAGUGGUGUCUGUCUUGUGCCUUCUACAUACUGUCCUAAUGUAAGCUUCGGUGAAACCUGGAUGUUAUGAGACUUGGUUGUGUCUUUUAAUACUAGUUUGUUGAAUUUUAUCUGUGUAGAUGCUUUAUCUAGUGCAUUUUUGGAU